ACCCGCUGAAUUUAAGCAUAUAAGUAAGCGGAGGACAGCAAACUGAAAAGGAUUCCUUUAGUAAUGGCGAAUGAACAAGGAAUAGCUCAUGUUGACAACCUGAACCUCUGGUUUAGAUUUGCAUAAUAUAGAUGCAUUGCCAAUGAAAGUGUGCAUGCAAGCCUUUUGGAAGAAAGCAGCAAUGAAGGUGAAACUCCUGCGUGUCAUGUGCAAUCUUUCAUACAAGGUGUGCUUCCAAGAGUCGCGUUCCUUGGAAGUGGAGCGCAAAUUGGGUGGUAAACUUCAUCCAAAGCUAAAUAUUGGUUUGAGACCGAUAGUGUACAAGUACCAUGAGGGAAAUGUGAAAAGGACUUUGAAAAGAAAGUUAGAAGUACCUGAAGUUGCUGAAAUGAAAGCAAAUGAAAUUGAUUGAUUGUAGCAAGAUUGCAGUGUGCAAAUGUCAGCCAGUCGGUGCACAUGAUUUGGCAUCCUUGGUUGUUUUAUGCGCAUCGUGUGUCUUGCUUUACAUGUCACAACUAAGCCGUGAUGUCAAUAUGUUGAGCAUGAGGGAACGUUCAUUGUUUGGCGUGAUCAUGCCCAAGACUGACAUUUGACUUGGUGCCUUUUGCUAGGCUGUGCGCCCUUUGCAAAGCGAAUGCGUUGCGGCGCGUUUGGCAUUGCGUGACUUUGAUAUUUCAUUUGACCCGUCUCGAAACACGGACCAAGGAGUCUAAUGCAUGUGCGAGUUUGUGGGUUUAUCAUUUGGGGCGAAAUGAAAAUGACAGUCGGGAUGUAUGCACCGACAGCCAACUAAUCAUUUGUGAGAGGUUUGAGUUUGAGCAUAUUUAUUAGGACCCGAAAGAUGGUGAACUAUGCCUGAGAAGAAUAAAUUCAGGGGAAACUCUGAUGGAGGCUUGCAGCGGUACUGACGUGCAAAUCGUUCGUCAUACUUGGGUGUAGGGGCGAAAGACUAAUCGAACCAUCUAGUAGCUGGUUCCCUCCGAAGUUUCCCUCAGGAUAGCUGGAAUUAUAAAGUUUUAUCAGGUAAAGCGAAUGAUUAGAGGAAUUGGGGGCGUGUUGUCCUUGACCUAUUCUCAAACUUUAAAUGGGUAAGAUCCAAUGGUUGUUUUGCAAACUUUUGGGAAAAUAUGAACUCUAUGUGGGCCAUUUUUGGUAAGCAGAAUUGGCGAUGAGGGAUGAACCUAACGUUGGGAUAAGGUGCUUUACUGCUCGCUCAUCAGAUACCAUAAAAGGUGUUGGUUCAUUUAAACAGCAGGACGGUGGUCAUGGAAGUCGAAAUCCGCUAAGGAGUGUGUAACAACUCACCUGCCGAAUGGACUAGCCCUGAAAAUGGAUGGCGCUCAAGCGGGUGACCGAUACCUAGCCGCUGUGGAAAAUAUUGUUCAACAGUGAGUAGGGGGGUGCAUUAGCUUGUGAUGAAGCUCUUGGUGCAAGCCUGGGUGAAACAGCUCUUACUGCAGAUCUUGGUGGUAGUAGC
RNAcentral lists this ribosomal RNA (1477 nucleotides) under Gonyaulax spinifera. RNAcentral's name for it is "partial large subunit ribosomal RNA". It matches the Rfam family "Eukaryotic large subunit ribosomal RNA", at positions 23 to 1464 of the family's 3401-position model. The record is from RNAcentral. Lineage: Eukaryota; Dinophyceae; Gonyaulacales; Gonyaulacaceae.